GGGCGAGUGGCGGAAUGGCAGACGCUGGGGACUUAAAAUCCUCUGACCCUCACCGGUCGUGCGGGUUCGAAUCCCGCCUCGCCCA
This 85-nucleotide transfer RNA is filed under the name Phycisphaerales bacterium. RNAcentral describes it as "tRNA-Leu". It matches the Rfam family "tRNA". Rfam says of the family: Transfer RNA (tRNA) molecules are approximately 80 nucleotides in length. Lineage: Bacteria; Pseudomonadati; Planctomycetota; Phycisphaerae; Phycisphaerales. The record is from RNAcentral.